UACGUAGGGUCCGAGCGUUGUCCGGAGUUACUGGGCGUAAAGCGCGCGCAGGCGGCUCGUCAAGUCUGGCGUGAAAGCCCCCGGCUCAACCGGGGAGGGUCGUCGGAGACUGGCGAGCUUGAGGGCGGUAGGGGCUGGUGGAAUUCCCGGUGUAGUGGUGAAAUGCGCAGAUAUCAGGAGGAACACCGAUGGCGAAGGCAGGUCUCUGGGCCGAUACUGACGCUGAGGAGCGAAAGCGUGGGGAGCGAACAGG
This 253-nucleotide ribosomal RNA is filed under the name uncultured bacterium. RNAcentral describes it as "partial 16S ribosomal RNA". It matches the Rfam family "Bacterial small subunit ribosomal RNA", at positions 524 to 776 of the family's 1533-position model. The record is from RNAcentral.